RNAcentral lists this ribosomal RNA (495 nucleotides) under uncultured bacterium. RNAcentral describes it as "partial 16S ribosomal RNA". It matches the Rfam family "Bacterial small subunit ribosomal RNA", at positions 28 to 505 of the family's 1533-position model. The record is from RNAcentral.
GAUGAACGCUGGCGGCGUGCCUAAUACAUGCAAGUCGAGCGAACAGACGAGGAGCUAGCUCCUCUGACGUUAGCGGCGGACGGGUGAGUAACACGUGGAUAACCUACCUAUAAGACUGGGAUAACUUCGGGAAACCGGAGCUAAUACCGGAUAAUAUAUUGAACCGCAUGGUUCAAUAGUGAAAGACGGUUUUGCUGUCACUUAUAGAUGGAUCCGCGCCGCAUUAGCUAGUUGGUAAGGUAACGGCUUACCAAGGCAACGAUGCGUAGCCGACCUGAGAGGGUGAUCGGCCACACUGGAACUGAGACACGGUCCAGACUCCUACGGGAGGCAGCAGUAGGGAAUCUUCCGCAAUGGGCGAAAGCCUGACGGAGCAACGCCGCGUGAGUGAUGAAGGUCUUCGGAUCGUAAAACUCUGUUAUUAGGGAAGAACAAAUGUGUAAGUAACUAUGCACGUCUUGACGGUACCUAAUCAGAAAGCCACGGCUAACUACG